Molecule: ribosomal RNA, 1342 nt
Filed under: metagenome
Description: bacterial SSU rRNA
Rfam family: Archaeal small subunit ribosomal RNA
Source: RNAcentral
CAUGUCGAUAAUCUGCCCUCAGGUUUGGGAUAACCUCGGGAAACUGAGGCUAACACCGAAUAUGAGAAUAUGACUGGAAUGUCUUUUCUCCAAAAAGUAAUGCCUAAGGAUGAGUCGGCACCUGAUUAGGUUGUUGGUGGGGUAACGGCCCACCAAGCUUACGAUCAGUAGGGGCCCUGAGAGGGGUAGCCCCGAGAAGGGUACUUAGACACUGACCCUAGCCCUACGGGGUGCAGCAGGUGCGGAACCUUUACAAUGCACGAAAGUGUGAUAAGGGAACCCUUAGUGCUUAUGCACUGCAUAGGCUUUUUCCAAGAGUAAGUAUCUUGGAGAAUAAGUGGUGGGUAAGACUGGUGCCAGCAGCCGCGGUAACACCAGCGCCACAAGUGGCAAUCACAAUUAUUGGGCCUAAAGCGUCCGUAGCCGGUCUUGUAAAUUCUUUGUGAAAUCGUCGGGCUCAACCCGACGAAUUGCAGAGAACACUGCAAGACUUGAGACCAGGAGGAGUCAGAGGUAUUCCAGGGGGAGCGGUAAAAUGCUAUAAUCCUUGGAGGACCACCUGUGGCGAAGGCGUCUGACCAGAAUGGUUCUGACGGUGAGGGACGAAAGCCAGGGGAGCAAACCGGAUUAGAUACCCGAGUAGUCCUGGCCGUAAACGCUGUGAGCUAGGUGUUGCAUAUUCUUCGCGAAUAUGCAGUAUCGAAGUGAAGACGAUAAGCUCACCGCCUGGGAAGUACGGUCGCAAGACUGAAACUUAAAGGAAUUGGCGGGGGAGCACCACAAGGGGUGCGGCGUGCGGUUUAAUCUAACUCCACACAGAGAAUCUCACUAGAGGCGACGGCAGUAUGAAGGUCAGUCUGGAGGGCUUACCCGACGAGCCGAGAGGUAGUGCAUGGCCGCCGUCAGCUCGUGCUGUGAGGUGUCCUGUUAAGUCAGGCAACGAGCGAGACCCAUAUCUACAAUUGCUAACAGAUCAGAAAUGAGGCCUGAGCACAUUGUAGGGACUGCCCGGGAAACUGGGAGGAAGGCGUGGGCCACGGUAGGUCUGUAUGCUCCGAAUCUUCUAGGCUACACGCGCGCAACAAUGGUUGGGACAAUGGGAUACAACUCCGAAAGGAGAAGUCAAACCUCUAAACCCAAUCUUAGUCCAGAUUGAGGGUUGUAACUCACCCUCAUGACGAUGGAAUCCCUAGUAAUCGGGUGUUAUCAGCGCCCGGUGAAUAUGUCCCUGCUCCUUGCACACACCGCCCGUCAAACCAUCCGAGCAGGGUUUAGAUGAGAACUAGUUAUUUGACUAGUGCGAAUCUAAGCUCAGUGAGGCGGGUUAAGUCGUCACAAGGUA